Molecule: long non-coding RNA, 1793 nt
Organism: Lingula anatina
Lineage: Eukaryota; Metazoa; Brachiopoda; Lingulata; Lingulida; Lingulidae
Source: RefSeq, a predicted model, not a curated record
AUGGUGGCCGGGACAUUUUAUUUCUGUAUUUUAUUUAUUUUCUGUUGUGCAAUACUAAUCCUAAGCUAAAAUGGUUCAUGUGGAAAAUUGUGGAUCAUUUUCACUGGUCUUUUUACCGCAUGGAAGAUGAAAUUUAGUUCAAUAUUAAACACUGGGAACAUAAAUGUUGACCACUCAGCUUAUACCUUAUGUUGGUCAUGUUCCACACAUUCCAUGGAGUGAGAUAGUGAUAAUGAUCCCCAACAGAUCUACCUGCAUUCAUUUCUCCUUAUUUUUCAUUUCCAGCAUUUAUAACUUGCCUAGCCUGGUGACAGGUGCUUGUACCUGAUCUUCCUCUCCUCCAAAAAUUGAUCAUGAUCCUUGAUUCUAACCAUUUUCUUAUAUAAUUGCUCACCUGGAAUGAUGUCAGUAAUCUUCUCUCUAUCAUUAUUUCAGCCAUAGAUCUCAUCAAUAAUUUGCUACAGGUGAAAAUGCGCAAACGAUUCAUGGUGGACAAAUCUUUAGCGCAUGUUUGGCUUCAGGAUUACCAAACGUGGUGCGAUCUACGCAAGAUGGAGAAGUAUGUUGGAAGGCGCUAUCUGUCGCACGAGUCGGAUGAUGCUCGAUGGGAACAGUAUCGUAAAGACAAAAACUUGGAUACAUGGGAAACAUUAGGACACACAGGUGUGGAUAUGAGUUUUCAUAAUAGAACACCCACAGCGCCAAGCCGCAGUCGCAAUAAUGGCUGUGGUAUUAUAGAGGAACAAGUUAGUGUGAUUUGACCGAGUCGUCCAUGUUCUCCUGUCUGUUGACUGGCCCCGCUGUCUGCAUGUGAACAGACUCUGUUGUAAAGAGCACCAUACUUUUCUUCUAUCACACCAUCUUGCAUGGGAGUAUUCAGAAUGAUUUUCACAUUCUUCUCAAAUAUUUGAAAAAUUUCAGGACGAUGAAUUUUCUUAUUAAGGGUGAUUAACACAAAGCGAUAAUUUAGUAGUAGUGAUAUAAAGCAGUUGUUAAUCCUGUAUUUGUUUAUAAGAUGUAAGAAAGGCAUUUUUAGAUAUAUGAUUAUAUAUAUGAUAUAUAACAUGCAUGAGAACAGCUGUUUUGUCUACUUGCCAUGAGAUGGCACCAGAUUAUAAUCAAGACAGGCCAACAGUGGCACAAAAAAAAAAAAGCAGCAGUCUUUUAACUAAUAGUUUGGUAGCAAAGAGGAUAAGGUGAGGAAGGGUUAGUAUUUGAUAAUUGCAUUUGCUGUAUAAUUAAGUGAAUGGUGGAUUCAGAAUUCUAAUUUUUGAUGCACUUAGAUGAAGUUAACAUUAGUUAGGUUCAAGCAUCAUAGUGUUCUUUUUAUCCUUUACAUCAAUUGCUAUUGAAACAAAGUCCCCAUUUUAUCACUUACAUUUAUAUAUAUAUGUGUGUCUGUGUGUGUGUCCUUUUUCAUACUUUACCAUGAUUUGGUAAGUGUGCUACUUGCUUAUCUUUUUAUUGGCCUCAGUUGUACUUUUUUGUGCAAUAUCUUUGUUGCUUGAUUAUCUGCUAAAUAUAAAAUGUUUAAAAUUAUACUAAAAUCUGUUUAAAGGAAACAUUUUUACAUUAUUUACGCAAGCAUUAUGAAAUUCAAACAGUAGACCACAAAUAGUAGUUUGACAAAAUUACUUAGCAAUUCGAAUUUUUUAAUGAAAUGCCUUCUAAGGUUAGUUGAUAGAAUAAGGGAAAUUUGAUUUUCAAAGAUGCAAACAUUACUCUGCCAUUUCUCAGGUCUCAAGUUCCAGGCCUCUAGUCAAAAUGAAGUUAGGUUAAGUAAAAAAAAAAAA